ACACGUAAGUUGCGAGCGUUGUUCGGAAUUAUUGGGCGUAAAGGGCAUGUAGGCGGUUUUGCAAGCUUGGGGUGAAAUCCCGGAGCUUAACUCCGGAAUUGCGUUGAGAACUGCAUAACUAGAGUCACUAAGGGGCAAUCAGAAUUCCAGGGGUAGGGGUGAAAUCUGUAGAUAUCUGGAAGAACACCGGUGGCGAAGGCGGACGUCUGGCCAUGUACUGACGCUGAGGCGCGAAGGUGCGGGGAGCGAACAGGUUUAGAUACCCUGGUAGUCCGCACAGUAAACGAUGUGCACCAGGUGGCGGGGGGUAGCCCUCGGUACCGAAGCCAACGCAUUAAGUGCACCGCCUGGGGAGUAUGCUCGCAAGGGUGAAACUCAAAUGAAUUGACGGGG
Molecule: ribosomal RNA, 393 nt
Filed under: uncultured bacterium
Lineage: Bacteria
Description: partial 16S ribosomal RNA
Rfam family: Bacterial small subunit ribosomal RNA
Source: RNAcentral